This 254-nucleotide ribosomal RNA is filed under the name uncultured bacterium. Its description in RNAcentral is "partial 16S ribosomal RNA". It matches the Rfam family "Bacterial small subunit ribosomal RNA", at positions 524 to 776 of the family's 1533-position model. The record is from RNAcentral.
UACGUAGGGUGCGAGCGUUGUCCGGAAUUAUUGGGCGUAAAGGGCUCGUAGGCGGUUUGUCACGUCGGGAGUGAAAACUCGGGGCUCAACCCCGAGCCUGCUUCCGAUACGGGCAGACUAGAGGUAUGCAGGGGAGAAUGGAAUUCCUGGUGUAGCGGUGAAAUGCGCAGAUAUCAGGAGGAACACCGGUGGCGAAGGCGGUUCUCUGGGCAUUACCUGACGCUGAGGAGCGAAAAGUGUGGGGAGCGAACAGG